Cricetulus griseus (Chinese hamster) is the source of this 91-nucleotide microRNA precursor. Lineage: Eukaryota; Metazoa; Chordata; Mammalia; Rodentia; Cricetidae. The record is from Ensembl.
UGUGGAGUAUGUACGUGUAUGUGUGUGUAUAAGUACAUGUGUGUACACAAUGGAAUUUCUUACAUCCAUAAAGAAGAAUAUAAUGACAACA